UGGGGAAUAUUGGGCAAUGGAGGCAACUCUGACCCAGCAACGCCGCGUGAAUGAUGAAGGUCUUCGGAUUGUAAAGUUCUGUGACGGGGGACGAAGGACAUGACGGUACCCCGAGAGCAAGCCACGGCAAACUACGUGCCAGCAGCCGCGGUAAUACGUAGGUGGCAAGCGUUGUCCGGAAUGACUGGGCGUAAAGGGUGCGUAGGCGGUCUGUCAAGUUAGAAGUGAAAUCCCGGGGCUCAACCCCGGAACUGCUUUUAAGACUGAUGGACUAGAGUGAUGGAGAGGUUAAUGGAAUUCCUAGUGUAGCGGUGGAAUGCGUAGAUAUUAGGAGGAACACCAGUGGCGAAGGCGAUUAACUGGACAUUAACUGACGCUGAGGCACGAAAGCGUGGGGAGCAAACA
Molecule: ribosomal RNA, 405 nt
Filed under: uncultured Eubacteriales bacterium
Lineage: Bacteria; Bacillati; Bacillota; Clostridia; Eubacteriales
Description: uncultured Clostridiales bacterium partial 16S ribosomal RNA
Rfam family: Bacterial small subunit ribosomal RNA
Source: RNAcentral